ACUUUUCCUGGCGAGAUGCAACAUAUCUCACCCCAAAAAUGAAGCACAAGGGACCAGAGUAACAGUUGCACCCAUGUUCUGUUGGUGAACUGUGAUCGUUAUUGAGGUUACUAACAGGAUUAUGGGUGAGAAGUUUCUGUUGAGGAGUAGGGAUAACUCAAAAGCAGCUGCACUACCAAGAAGCCCUCCCCCCAAAACCACUGUCCACCUUGAACGCUACAACCUAGACCUCCCUGCAGAACAGCUGGUCUGUCUCCUCCUCCAGCAGGUGUUCCUUGUCUUUCUGUGUAAGGGUUCCUCAAGAGUCUUCCAAGAUACUUCUCUCAGACAUGUGCCUUUAUUGUUAUUAUUAAACCUCCCGAGGCUCAAGAGCCUCUCUUCUGGAGUAAACAGCCAUCAAACAUCACUAUUUUCUCCAGUUACUUGAGAUCUUAAUUUAGUAGGCCAAACGAGCCGCAGUUCACACGGAGAUAUGGUUCAAGUGUAAUGGGCAUUGUGGUAUUUGUGGUGCCACUGAAAGGCACUCAUCACACUCAGUGGCAAUGUAAGAUGCUGAACCUGUUGUAGAAAAGUUUUUGCAGCAUCUAAAAUAAAAACCAAGAAAACCUAGGUCUUCCUAAGUACUAGAAACUCGGGUUCACAGCAGCAUUACUUGGGUUGCCUCUAACUUGUGUCUGUGAAGAUAAACAUUAGACAUGCCUUAUGUAGUGGAAUUGGCAUAAGCCUGACAUGUACCUAACAUGGUUAUAAACUUUGA
RNAcentral lists this long non-coding RNA (757 nucleotides) under Rattus norvegicus (Norway rat). Its description in RNAcentral is "long non-coding RNA NONRATT011710". The record is from RNAcentral. Lineage: Eukaryota; Metazoa; Chordata; Mammalia; Rodentia; Muridae.